UGGAUAUGAAGAACAAU
This 17-nucleotide microRNA is filed under the name Corchorus olitorius. RNAcentral's name for it is "hsa-miR-32". Lineage: Eukaryota; Viridiplantae; Streptophyta; Magnoliopsida; Malvales; Malvaceae. The record is from RNAcentral.